GGCCCUGCCUUCUACUGCUGUUGGCAGCUCCUAGGGCAACAACAGAACCUCCCAGCCUCCCUUCACUGGGGGAGAAGCAUGAGCUGAAAACAAAAGAAGGGAUUAGAGCCCAGAUGGAGCGGCCUGAGCUCGGGGCGGGGUCCCCAGGGGCACCCCCCUCGUCCUCGGCCCUUCAGCUCCUUGCCCUCGGCCGUCUCUGGGCGUCACCAGCCAGCAGCUGCCUUGCUGGCCAGCGGUUUCUGUUGCAGGAGCCUCUUGUGCUCGGGGGCUGGCCACAGGGCCUCCGCUGUCCCUCAUAAUGUGUUUCAAGUGAUUUUGCUUUUGAGGAACCUGCCCGCCCAGGACUUCAAGGGCCUCUGCUGACCCAUGCACGUCCCAAGGCCUCCGCCGCAGCCCCAUUCGCCACACGGCCCCUGGCUCCUGCCCACUUAUGGCUGGUCCUGGGCUCCCGUGGCCAAGGAGAGUUGGGCAGACGUUGGCAGAUGUGUCUCCUUUGUCCCUGGAGUGAUUCCAGGCUCGGCUGAAACUCUGAAAGGCGAGCCCAGCCAGAGGUGCCUCGGAGGCCCAAGUGUGCAGCCUGUCAUUCCCCAGCAGUGACUCCACAGGCCUCCAGUGCACAUCAUCUCCUCAUACGUCCCCCAAGGACCCUGGGCUACCGAGGGAACACUAGCUCAUAGCUUGUGACUUCAGCACUGUAUGGAAGAGAACAGGAGCAGACCCGUCUCACUGUUGGGGCAGCUGUGGACAGUCACGCGUCUAUCUUGGUUCCAGCCAGGCUCUCAGCUUGCACAGCCAGGGUGCCAGAAACUGCCCGGGCCAGAUUUUCAAACCCCUGAGAUUGAGGCUGAUAGGGAUGAAAAUCAUCUUUCCUUUGGUGAAGCUGCAGGGACAAGGAACAAGGAGGUGACCCACAUACCCCUUGAUAGAUGCUGACACAGGCAAUGGCCUUGGACUUAAAACAUUUGUAAGUAUUUAUUUUCUAAGAUAUUAGUUUUAUUAUAU
RNAcentral lists this long non-coding RNA (1002 nucleotides) under Homo sapiens (human). RNAcentral describes it as "HSALNT0209468". Lineage: Eukaryota; Metazoa; Chordata; Mammalia; Primates; Hominidae. The record is from RNAcentral.